UACGUAGGAUGCAAGCGUUAUCCGGAUUUAUUGGGUUUAAAGGGUGCGUAGGCGGGUUUGUAAGUCAGUGGUGAAAGACUGUCGCUUAACGAUAGCAUUGCCAUUGAUACUGCAGAUCUUGAGUACACUUGAGGUAGGCGGAAUGUGUAGUGUAGCGGUGAAAUGCUUAGAUAUUACACAGAACACCAAUUGCGAAGGCAGCUUACUAAAUUGUUACUGACGCUGAGGCACGAAAGCGUGGGGAUCAAACAGG
Molecule: ribosomal RNA, 253 nt
Filed under: uncultured bacterium
Lineage: Bacteria
Description: partial 16S ribosomal RNA
Rfam family: Bacterial small subunit ribosomal RNA
Source: RNAcentral